This 612-nucleotide small RNA is filed under the name uncultured fungus. Its description in RNAcentral is "eukaryotic LSU rRNA". The stretch from base 213 to 366 matches the Rfam family "5.8S ribosomal RNA". Lineage: Eukaryota; Fungi. The record is from RNAcentral.
CAGAAGGAUCAUUAUUGAAUAAACUUGAACAGGCUGUUGCUCAUCUGGUGCACGCUUGUCAUCUUUAUCUCUCCCACUGUGCACAUAUUGUAGACCUAGAGUUUUGAGAACUGCUGUGCUGUGCAAGGUCAGCUUUCUUGUUGUUUCUUCUGGGUCUAUGUAUCACAAUCUCUAUAACACGUUUGGAAUGUUGAAUUUGGAUAAAAAUAUACAACUUUCAGCAACGGAUCUCUUGGCUCUUGCAUCGAUGAAGAACGCAGCGAAAUGCGAUAAGUAAUGUGAAUWGCAGAAUWCAGUGAAUCAUCGAAUCUUUGAACGCAUCUUGCGCUUCUUGGUAUUCCGAGGAGCAUGCCUGUUUGAGUGUCAUAAAGUUCUCAACCACACCAGCUUGGGUGUUUGGUUUGGAUGUGGGGGUAUUUUUGCAGGCUUGAAGUAAAGUCAGCUCCCCUGAAAUGUAUCAGUGGUAUCUGUGCAGAGAUGUCCACAGGUGUGAUAAAUUAUCUAUGCCUUGGCUCUGCUGCUUGCACUGCUUUCUAAACAACUUCUGACAGAUUUGACCUCAAAUCAGGUAGGACUACCCGCUGAACUUAAGCAUAUCAAUAAGCGGAGGAA